This 600-nucleotide ribosomal RNA is filed under the name Enterobacter ludwigii. Its description in RNAcentral is "bacterial SSU rRNA". It matches the Rfam family "Bacterial small subunit ribosomal RNA", at positions 40 to 634 of the family's 1533-position model. Lineage: Bacteria; Pseudomonadati; Pseudomonadota; Gammaproteobacteria; Enterobacterales; Enterobacteriaceae. The record is from RNAcentral.
CGGCGGAGACUACCUGCAGUCGAACGGUAGCACAGAGAGCUUGCUCUCGGGUGACGAGUGGCGGACGGGUGAGUAAUGUCUGGGAAACUGCCUGAUGGAGGGGGAUAACUACUGGAAACGGUAGCUAAUACCGCAUAACGUCGCAAGACCAAAGAGGGGGACCUUCGGGCCUCUUGCCAUCAGAUGUGCCCAGAUGGGAUUAGCUAGUAGGUGGGGUAACGGCUCACCUAGGCGACGAUCCCUAGCUGGUCUGAGAGGAUGACCAGCCACACUGGAACUGAGACACGGUCCAGACUCCUACGGGAGGCAGCAGUGGGGAAUAUUGCACAAUGGGCGCAAGCCUGAUGCAGCCAUGCCGCGUGUAUGAAGAAGGCCUUCGGGUUGUAAAGUACUUUCAGCGGGGAGGAAGGUGUUGUGGUUAAUAACCACAGCAAUUGACGUUACCCGCAGAAGAAGCACCGGCUAACUCCGUGCCAGCAGCCGCGGUAAUACGGAGGGUGCAAGCGUUAAUCGGAAUUACUGGGCGUAAAGCGCACGCAGGCGGUCUGUCAAGUCGGAUGUGAAAUCCCCGGGCUCAACCUGGGAACUGCAUUCGAAACU